AGAGUUGAGUCUGGACAUCAUG
RNAcentral lists this microRNA (22 nucleotides) under Python bivittatus (Burmese python). Its description in RNAcentral is "Pbv-Mir-219-P3_3p (mature (co-guide))". Lineage: Eukaryota; Metazoa; Chordata; Lepidosauria; Squamata; Pythonidae. The record is from RNAcentral.